This 932-nucleotide long non-coding RNA is filed under the name Scleropages formosus (Asian bonytongue). RNAcentral's name for it is "lncRNA (ENSSFOG00015031187.1)". The record is from RNAcentral. Lineage: Eukaryota; Metazoa; Chordata; Actinopteri; Osteoglossiformes; Osteoglossidae.
AGGUUCACCGCACGCUGGGAAACGGGUCAUCGCAACCAAGGGUUCCUCACGGGAGGCAGGAACCCAAGAUCAUCACCUCCACGGUUGACGCUCUGUGACCAUGUCACCAGGAGGACAGGAACGCUGCGAGGACCUCCCAUCCGUCCCAUUGCGAGUCCAACAUCGAUUCUGCGAUUAUCACGUCUCCCGCGACAGUGACUGCGUGAGCAAAUGGGCAUGAGGGAUGUGGUCAUCCGAUGGGAUCAUCUGAAACCAGCACGGGCACCGCCCACCUUCAUCAAUUACUGCCGCCUACACCGCGCUGCAGGCACAUCUCCCGGUUAAGAUGUAUAACGCUGGGCAUCCAUGCCUCAUUACCCAGGAUCCUGAGCUGGAGCAGAGUCACCCGCUGGGCAGCCGCGGCUUUUAAAGCCUCCCUCGCUUAAAUUAUCGCAGCUUUUCGUACGCAGAUUGUGUGACGCCGCUGUACCUUGGACCUCGCAAUACAGGUACGUGGCUGCGGAUCUGAAGCCGGGUUCUGAGCCCAGCGGGUACGGGGGGGGGGGGGGGGGUGCACAGAUUGAUCUGAGACAACAGCACAGUGACGGUGAGAGAGGGACACGAGGACGGAGCAGUUCACGAGUCCAACUGGAGUGACUUUUGAGCUCUGCGUCCAGAUGCCGCCGAGAGCUUCUCUCCCCCUCUGUUUCCGACAUCUUCUCUGAAAAAAAACCAACGAAAAUCUAUACAGCAGGUGGUGCGGUGGUCGGAACUUCUGAAUUCCGUUUGAAGCACCUGGGUUCCAAUCCCACCUCCUGCUGCAGUUACUAACCCUUCGCUGAUAUGGUAAAAAAUGCUAAGCCGUAAAAAAAGAGAAAAAACGGUGUAAAAAGCUCAGCGCUAUUUCACUUUGAGAAAAUAAAUGACAAACACAUUUAAAAUAAAUCCGCUGC